RNAcentral lists this transfer RNA (5247 nucleotides) under Melitaea cinxia (Glanville fritillary). RNAcentral's name for it is "misc RNA ENSMCXG00005006849.1". Lineage: Eukaryota; Metazoa; Arthropoda; Insecta; Lepidoptera; Nymphalidae. The record is from RNAcentral.
UUGGUCUACUAUCGAUUCAGUACAACGAAACUACUGGAACAAGCCAAUUAUAAUAAAACAAAUGAUUAAGAUAGUUAAAAAUCUUUUUUUUUUGUGGGUCAUGUUAAAUAAUUUAAUUUCAUUUUCCAGAUCGUAGGGAUCAACACCGACCUGCCUUUAACCGCACCGGUCGCAUCAACAGAAACCUUCGACCCUGAAGCCAUCAAACCUAUCGACGUCAGCACACCCGUCACCAUCACCCCCAACAUCCCAUACACAUCCAACACCCCCCAGCCAACCGUAGAAAGGGACAGCAAGAGGUGUAUUCUCAUGUAAGUGUUUGUAUUAUACUACUUGUGAUUAAUUAUAUCAUAACUUGAGAUAACUGAUGCUGUGUUUGGUGCUUAUUUACUAAAUCUUUGCCGAGUGCUGGGAUAUAUUUUGCUCAAAACUGGAUUUUGCUAACAAUAUUCAAAAUAUUUUUACAUUAUAUAUGAAAGUAAAAUUAUCUUUCAAAAUAACCAGCAAAAAAUAAUGUUUUAUUAAAUAAAAUGAUUAAAUUUCUACUUUAUUAGUAAUGAAGGUACGAAUUUGACAAAUAUUUAGUUAAAUAUAAUGUUUGUCAACCAAUAUCAGCGUCAGUUUAGAUAUUAUUCACGAGUAGUAUAAUUUCAGAAUAUUUUAUGAAAUCGAACACGGGACUGGUCAUAGUACAAAUAUUGUACGUUAAUAUUGUCUCUGAGUGUUAAGAUUUGCAAGACGUUGUUUUACAUUAGAUUAGACGAUAAUGAAAUGUCUAGGUUGAUUCUAAAUAUAAGAAAUUUCUUUAGUAUCCGUUAGUUUCUUUAAAAGAAGCGUUAAAAUGGUAACAUAAUAUAUUUUUUAUCUGUGUUGAUAAAGUUUUUAAUCUAGGCGUUUCGAUAAUGUUCUUGAUCUGUUAAAUAUCCGAGCAAGGUGGCUACGGAUCAUUUGUAUCAUGAAGGUUAUUAAAAGAAAUUCAAAAGCGUUUACUUCAUAAUAUAAAUUUUAAAUUAAGAUCCUUAAUAUUAAUAAUUGACAAUAGUAAAAAAAAUAAAUAAAUAAGAAUCACCAAAGACACGUUCAAUUAUAUUUAAACAGGAUACUUGAGAGCGAACACACAGACAAAAAUAUUGUUACCAGUGUAUGUAAAACUUUUUUCAACUCGUUAAUUUAUACACGGCAUUCUAAUUUUCUAUGAUUUGAUUGGUCGAGGGGCGUGGCUAAGCUAAGUGUCAAAUAAAAUGGUUCUUAUGUAAAUAAUUUUACGUUAUAUCUUAAAAACUAGCUGACUCUGCAAUCGUUUUACCGCUAAACUCAUCUCAAAUCUUAAUAAAAUAAAAAUGGAAAUUUAGUCAUAAAUUAUUAUUUUUUUUUUUUGGUGUGGACUCGUAUAAUUUAGGGGUUUAAAAAAUAGUUGACGACCGAUUCUCAGACCUACCAAAUAUGCAGAAAGAUGUUUAUAAGAAUCGGUCAAGUCGUUUCGGAGGAGUUGGACCCCUAACACUGUGACAAGAGAAUUUUAUAUAUUUACAUUAGUAAAUAGAUUUGUAUCAGAAACGCAAGCGCUUUUUUCAUAUGAUAUAAAGCUUUUCAUUUCACGGGAUUUACUGAGAAUUACAUUUUGAAACUUUCAUUAAAUAUUGAUAUAACAAAAUUUCAUUAUUUAUAUUACGAAGUAAACGCAAUUGUCUCUAAAUCGAUAUUCUUUGUAAAAUUGAGCAAUCAAAGUGUGAAAAAUUAUGCAUAUUUACUAGUAUUGAUAAUAUAUUAUUUACAGUCUGUAUUACUCGUUACUAUGUGUUUAUGUGUAUCAUGUGCUAUUAAAUUGAACCACAUACACUAUUUACCAUCUACAAACUAUGUACAAGACAUCGGUGAAAUGGAAGAAGUACUUUAGCCAGGAGAUAGGCUUACAAUUGAACUUAGGAUCGGAUUCAGUGUGGAUAAUGUUUAUCCAGCACAUAAGUUACGAAUAGUCUUUAACGGCAGGAGAUAGAAUAAGCGAGUAGGACGUGUUUCUCCUCAAUUAACAAAAAACAACUUUUAAUCUCAUAGAUAUAGUUGAAUUCUAUGGUAAAAAAGAAUAUAUCAUAAAAUUUUAUCUGUUGGAUACCAUCAUCCGUCAAAUAGCAUUAUCCACAAACGUUGAAACAGACACUAAUUACGGCUUCUGUUUGUAAAUGGUACCUAUGGUGUGUUGGUUUCAAUUAAUUCCUCGCUUGUAUUCUGUAUAUAUUAUUUCAUAGAUUACUUGUUGAUAAUUGAUAUUUAAAAAAAAAACAUAUAAAUUGUGAAAUGAACACAAUGAAUUACUAGAUUGAUGAGAAAUUGAGCAAAGUUAUAAUACAUUUGUAAUAUAGCUAAAUGAUCAUGUGUGUUUUAUAUGUUCAAUCAUUAUUUCCUUAUAAAUAAAUACUUUUUGAAGCAAUUUCAUAUAAAAAAAAGUUAAUAAUAAUCCUAGGCGCUGUGUUUUGUUUAUUCAACCAUUAUUUAUCUGUUUAUACUUUAAAACAUAUAUUUUGUUUAGAAAAAAAUCACAAUAAUGAUAUUUUUUACUUACAUAUUGUAUGUACAUAGUAACGAGUAAUACAUGCAAAUAUGAAAUGUGUUCAGAGAACGUUAUAUGCGAGAGUAGUCGUUAUGUACCGAGCGAGGUACUGUGUUUUAAACUCGGACUUAAAAAAGUUUUAUCACGUGACUUGUAGAUAUCGAGGACUUGUCAUUUAUUGAUGGUUUUAUAAUUAUGGAGUAAUCUUUAUUUCUUGAGUUACAAUCGGUAUUAAGCAGAUGCAAACUCGUGCAACACUUAUGUGUUAAUUCUUAUUUUAGGCUGAAUUUGAUCACGGUGUAAUUAUUGAAAGCUAAAUGAUUUUAAUUAUAGGAUUGCGAUAAAUUUGUAAAAAAAAAAUUAACUAACACUAAAAUUAAUUUUUCAAUAAGUUUAAUAGUUGGUGUGUGAAAGAGUAACAAACAUCAUUGCCAACUAGUAUUAGUAGUAUUUAUACGAGUGAAGACGUCUUUUUAAAACUGAUUGCUAAAUGCGAAAUUUCUUAUCAGUAUGAAUAAAUAUUCAAAAUAAAAUUCCUUACAUUUUUGAAUAUCACAUCAAAAAUCGACCGCUCCAGCGGGGAUCGAACCCGCGUCUCCGACUGACCGUGUCGGUGCUCUAGCCAAUUAAGCUAUGGAACGAUGUAUGUGAUGAGACGCUCAAAAAUGUUUAGAAUUUCUAAUGUGUGGGUAACACAAAAAUAAAAUCGUACAUAUUAUAAAAUUCCUUAAUAAAUAACAAGUCCAUUUUGAUUUAAGUCGUUUUUAAGAUCGGAUCAACGUUUCUUUUUUUCUUCCAUUAAGUUUUCAAAUGAAAUGAAAACAAGAUUCGAUUUUAAAAAAUAUAUUAAAAUAAGUUAGUCAAUAAGUUUUAUUCUAUAACGUUUUGUUAGUGAUGUGCGGUCCAUUUUGUUAGUUAAUACGAAAUGGUUUUGAAGAAAACGGCAAUAGUGUAAUAUAACUUGCAUUUCGAAAUAUAAAAUUAAAAAUAUUAUGCUUUUUUUAUUUUGUGUUAUUUUAUAGUUCAAUAAUAUAUCGACCAAAAAUAAUUAAGCUUUUUUACGUUUGUAUUUUUGUAAUAUUUCGAGUAACUUGAUCGCUCUGAACUUAUUGAGUAAAAUCAGGAAUUCCCAAAACUUGUCAAAGUUGAAUUUUUCAUAAUAUCUAUGACAAUAUUUGAAAGUAAUAAAGGCAAUUUUUUUAAUGGUACAAACUUAAAAUUAUGUUUAAGUAAUUUACUUUAUCUUAAUCUUGGUUUCAAAGGUAUUUAAUUGGUUCCAACAUUCAUAAGCGUAUAACAAUUUAGUUAAAAAAAUGUUUUAAUUACUUUUGAAAAUAAACGUUUGAAAUUAAGAGCGAUAAAGUCGUAAUAACUUGUUGUAAUAUGUAACAGAAAUAAUUAACAUUGAACUGUUUUCUUUACAAUAAAAUCAUGACAAUAGAUUAAAACCACCGAUGAGACGCCAUGUUGUCAAAUUUUGCUAAUCACGCCAUAAUUAGAAUUACAGAUAAGUAAUAUUUUCAACCUUUUUUUUAUAUUUUUUCUUUUUUUGUGUCGAAGAGGGUAAUUAAAAAACUUAGCAGUUUGAUGAAUUUGUUUUUUUUUUCUUAUUUCUCGUCUCGAUUUUUUUAGAUGAUAAAUCAAUGCCUUAUUAAUGAAUUCUUUGUUCUAAAUAAAUAUGAUUUAAUAUAAUUAAAAGUUUUUAUAAAUAUCAAAAAAUCCAUUUUUUGUAUAAAUAAAUCCUGUCACAAAAUUUCCUAUGCUCUAUUUUCUAAGAAAUCAAAUAAAAGCGAAUAAUUAAGAAAUGCAAAUAAAUCUACAAUAUUCUUAAUUCGCUUCAAAAAUGAACAUAAUAUCAAAAAGUUUGACACAGUCUGCCUUUGUAGUAAUUAAUUAGACGCGCUAGUAAAAUACAGCAAUUAGUUAAAUAAAUGGUAAAAGAAAUGUUUUUUUUUUUUAAAUCUGUACCGUAACAACAAAAAUUACUAAUUUUACAUAAUACUGUAAUGGUUCAGAAAAAAAAAAACCAUAAAAUGACUUAAAUAAAUCGUUAAUCUCAACUAUAUAUACUAUAUAACAUUUUUUUAUUGUACGUAACAUUUAUUACUGCAUAUUGGCCAGACUUAUGUACGCUAUUAUAUGGUUUAAUUGAUACCGUGUUAAUACUUUGAAUUUUUUGGUUUUUGCCAAUAAACAGAUGUAUAUAAGCGAGUGAUAUUAAAUCGCAUACACUACAUUACAUUUAUAAGCUAUAGACAUGUCAGUCAAACAGUAGCAGUAUUGACACGAGACAAGUUGACAGCUGAACUUGAACUACUCCAUAUAUUUGACUGUAUAUAGCUUAGAAAAGGCAUGUAGAGGUAUUUGGUUCAAAUUCUUGCCUUAUGUAUACAUCUAUGUAUGUGGUAGACUUUUCAUUAUAUGCAAUAAUUAUGUAAGUAGCUAUUACAUGAUGCUUCAAUUAAUUUAUUUUUAAAAUGGAUUAGUGAAGAUUUAUAGAUACUAUUUCAUUAUUAUUUUUUUUCGUUUAUUCUAGACGUUUGAAAUAUUUAAGUAUCGUCCAUUUGUUUCUUAAUCGGAAAAAAGAUAUUUGAGUUAUUUUUUUUAAUGUAAUUAGAAUGUAAUGUAGCGUAAUGGAAUUUUUAUUAUUAUAGUAAUAUAGAAUUGAUAACUUUUGUUAAUAAAUCAUUGAAAUCGAU